RNAcentral lists this long non-coding RNA (751 nucleotides) under Homo sapiens (human). RNAcentral describes it as "non-protein coding lnc-PSMA8-5:5". Lineage: Eukaryota; Metazoa; Chordata; Mammalia; Primates; Hominidae. The record is from RNAcentral.
GCAGCUGCGUUAUUAGAGCUCCACGGCGGAUCUCGGGGCUCUUCUGCUCGCUUUUUUUCCUCUUCAGAAAUUAAAGCAGAGGAGCAUCUGAAAGUGGAAAGGUCCCCCUUCUGGUAGGAUGGAUGUAAAAGGAGGCAACAAUUUGUUCUUGAGGGGGCAAAAAAAAAAAAAAAAAAAAAGAAAAAGAAAAAGAAAAAGAAAGGAGGGGGGAAAUUCAUUGCUUGGCUUUUGCAUUGUCGGACUUUAAAAAAGUGUGUCUGCUGUUGUUGCCCGGACUCGGGAAAUCUUUUUUAUGGCAACCGCAGACCUGCCAAGUCUCUCUUACUUGGAAUCUUUAUAAAGGCAAGUUAUUUGGACUUUUUUUUUAUUUUCUCGUUUAGAGAAAGUCAUUGAUGCUGACGAAUGUCAUAAUGUGAUUCAAAAGAGACAGCUUUGAGUUCACUUUUUUAACAUUCUCAAAUUGACAUAGAUCUUUGUCCAGAAAAUAAAGCUUUCUGUUGAUUUUUUCUUUAAGCAAGAGCUAUGGCAGAGGCACAAGAAGACAAGCCCAACGAUGAAGCCUAUUUUAAGCCCCUGCUUAUGUCAUAAAUGCUAACAUCUCAUUUGCUGAAGCAAGUCACAUGGAUUGGUUCUAAAGCAAAAGAGAGCAACGAUUUUAAAAGACAGUGAGGCAAUUUCGCAGUCCCUGGAGAAUAAAGAUAAGCUGAAGCAUCAGUGAGAAAGAAAACUAAAAUGCACUUUGUGAAUCCUG